RNAcentral lists this ribosomal RNA (446 nucleotides) under uncultured bacterium. Its description in RNAcentral is "partial 16S ribosomal RNA". It matches the Rfam family "Bacterial small subunit ribosomal RNA", at positions 338 to 795 of the family's 1533-position model. The record is from RNAcentral.
CCUACGGGUGGCAGCAGUCGAGAAUCAUUCACAAUGGGGGAAACCCUGAUGGUGCGACGCCGCGUGGGGGAAUGAAGGUCUUCGGAUUGUAAACCCCUGUCAUGUGGGAGCAAAUUAAAAAGAUAGUACCACAAGAGGAAGAGACGGCUAACUCUGUGCCAGCAGCCGCGGUAAUACAGAGGUCUCAAGCGUUGUUCGGAACCACUGGGCGUAAAGCGUGCGUAGGCUGUUUCGUAAGUCGUGUGUGAAAGGCGCGGGCUCAACCCGCGGACGGCACAUGAUACUGCGAGACUAGAGUAAGGGAGGGGGAACCGGAAUUCUCGGUGUAGCAGUGAAAUGCGUAGAUAUCGAGAGGAACACUCGUGGCGAAGGCGGGUUCCUGGACAGUAACUGACGCUGAGGCACGAAGGCCAGGGGAGCGAAAGGGAUUAGAUACCCGAGUAGUC